UACGAGUGCCCCGAGCGUUAUCCGGAAUCAUUGGGCGUAAAGGGUGUGUAGGUGGCGAUGUUAGUCUUCUGUCAAAGCCCCGGGCUUAACCCGGGACCUGCAGGGGAAACGGCAUCGCUCGAGGAUGCGAGGGGUGAAUGGAACUCAUGGAGUAGGGGUGAAAUCCGUUGAUAUCAUGGGGAACACCAAAAGCGAAGGCAAUUCACUGGCGCAUUCCUGACACUGAAACACGAAAGCGUGGGUAGCGAACGGG
This 253-nucleotide ribosomal RNA is filed under the name uncultured bacterium. RNAcentral describes it as "partial 16S ribosomal RNA". It matches the Rfam family "Bacterial small subunit ribosomal RNA", at positions 524 to 776 of the family's 1533-position model. The record is from RNAcentral.